UUCUUUCUGGCUGUGCUGUGACUGCUCU
This 28-nucleotide non-coding RNA is filed under the name Rattus norvegicus (Norway rat). The record is from RNAcentral. Lineage: Eukaryota; Metazoa; Chordata; Mammalia; Rodentia; Muridae.